This 238-nucleotide ribosomal RNA is filed under the name Cicadellidae sp. BAH_28362_B05. Its description in RNAcentral is "partial 16S ribosomal RNA". Lineage: Eukaryota; Metazoa; Arthropoda; Insecta; Hemiptera; Cicadellidae. The record is from RNAcentral.
AUUUAAAUGGCUGCAGUAUUUUGACUGUACAAAGGUAGCAUAAUAAUUAGUUUUUUAAUUGGGGACUUGAAUGAAUGGAUAUAUGAAGGUUUAAUUUUAUUAUAGGUAUUGUUAUAAUUUUAUUUCUUGGUAAAAAAGCUAAGGUUUUUUUUUGGGANGAGAAGACCCUAUAGAACUUAAAAGUUUAAGUUAUAUUUCUUUUUUUUUGAAUUAUUUAAUUUUUAUGAUUUAAUUUUUU